CCCUUAGAUGUCCUGGGCCGCACGCGCGCUACACUGAUGCAUUCAGCGAGUCUACCUUGGCCGAGAGGCCUGGGCAACCUUUUAAACGUGCAUCGUGAUAGGGAUAGAUUAUUGCAAUUAUUAAUCUUGAACGAGGAAUUCCUAGUAAACGCAAAUCAUCAAUUUGCAUUGAUUACGUCCCUGCACUUUGUACACACCGCCCGUCGCACCUACCGAUUGAAUGGUCCGGUGAGGACUCGGGAUUUUUACCAGUUUCCUUCAUUGGGAAUUGGUGAGGAGAACUUGUCCAAACCUUAUCAUUUAGAGGAAGGUGAAGUCGUAACA
This 324-nucleotide ribosomal RNA is filed under the name uncultured eukaryote. RNAcentral describes it as "partial 18S ribosomal RNA". It matches the Rfam family "Eukaryotic small subunit ribosomal RNA", at positions 1470 to 1796 of the family's 1831-position model. The record is from RNAcentral.